This 71-nucleotide transfer RNA is filed under the name Candidatus Filomicrobium marinum. It matches the Rfam family "tRNA". Rfam says of the family: Transfer RNA (tRNA) molecules are approximately 80 nucleotides in length. Their secondary structure includes four short double-helical elements and three loops (D, anti-codon, and T loops). Lineage: Bacteria; Pseudomonadati; Pseudomonadota; Alphaproteobacteria; Hyphomicrobiales; Hyphomicrobiaceae. The record is from Rfam by way of RNAcentral.
GGGGUUUUAGCUCAGCGGUAGAGCACCGGACAUUUGUCCGGAGGUCGUGGGUUCGACUCCCGCAAACUUCA